This 749-nucleotide ribosomal RNA is filed under the name Escherichia coli. Its description in RNAcentral is "partial 23S ribosomal RNA". It matches the Rfam family "Bacterial large subunit ribosomal RNA", at positions 984 to 1735 of the family's 2925-position model. Lineage: Bacteria; Pseudomonadati; Pseudomonadota; Gammaproteobacteria; Enterobacterales; Enterobacteriaceae. The record is from RNAcentral.
ACACACGGCGGGUGCUAACGUCCGUCGUGAAGAGGGAAACAACCCAGACCGCCAGCUAAGGUCCCAAAGUCAUGGUUAAGUGGGAAACGAUGUGGGAAGGCCCAGACAGCCAGGAUGUUGGCUUAGAAGCAGCCAUCAUUUAAAGAAAGCGUAAUAGCUCACUGGUCGAGUCGGCCUGCGCGGAAGAUGUAACGGGGCUAAACCAUGCACCGAAGCUGCGGCAGCGACACUGUGUGUUGUUGGGUAGGGGAGCGUUCUGUAAGCCUGCGAAGGUGUGCUGUGAGGCAUGCUGGAGGUAUCAGAAGUGCGAAUGCUGACAUAAGUAACGAUAAAGCGGGUGAAAAGCCCGCUCGCCGGAAGACCAAGGGUUCCUGUCCAACGUUAAUCGGGGCAGGGUGAGUCGACCCCUAAGGCGAGGCCGAAAGGCGUAGUCGAUGGGAAACAGGUUAAUAUUCCUGUACUUGGUGUUACUGCGAAGGGGGGACGGAGAAGGCUAUGUUGGCCGGGCGACGGUUGUCCCGGUUUAAGCGUGUAGGCUGGUUUUCCAGGCAAAUCCGGAAAAUCAAGGCUGAGGCGUGAUGACGAGGCACUACGGUGCUGAAGCAACAAAUGCCCUGCUUCCAGGAAAAGCCUCUAAGCAUCAGGUAACAUCAAAUCGUACCCCAAACCGACACAGGUGGUCAGGUAGAGAAUACCAAGGCGCUUGAGAGAACUCGGGUGAAGGAACUAGGCAAAAUGGUGCCGUAACU